This 497-nucleotide ribosomal RNA is filed under the name uncultured bacterium. RNAcentral describes it as "partial 16S ribosomal RNA". It matches the Rfam family "Bacterial small subunit ribosomal RNA", at positions 28 to 507 of the family's 1533-position model. The record is from RNAcentral.
GAUGAACGCUGGCGGCGUGCCUAAUACAUGCAAGUCGAGCGAACGGACGAGAAGCUUGCUUCUCUGAUGUUAGCGGCGGACGGGUGAGUAACACGUGGAUAACCUACCUAUAAGACUGGGAUAACUUCGGGAAACCGGAGCUAAUACCGGAUAAUAUUUUGAACCGCAUGGUUCAAAAGUAAAAGACGGUCUUGCUGUCACUUAUAGAUGGAUCCGCGCUGCAUUAGCUAGUUGGUAAGGUAACGGCUUACCAAGGCAACGAUGCAUAGCCGACCUGAGAGGGUGAUCGGCCACACUGGAACUGAGACACGGUCCAGACUCCUACGGGAGGCAGCAGUAGGGAAUCUUCCGCAAUGGGCGAAAGCCUGACGGAGCAACGCCGCGUGAGUGAUGAAGGUCUUCGGAUCGUAAAACUCUGUUAUUAGGGAAGAACAUAUGUGUAAGUAACUGUGCACAUCUUGACAGUACCUAAUCAGAAAGCCACGGCUAACUACGUG